Oryza sativa Indica Group (long-grained rice) is the source of this 206-nucleotide microRNA precursor. It matches the Rfam family "MIR812 microRNA precursor family". Lineage: Eukaryota; Viridiplantae; Streptophyta; Magnoliopsida; Poales; Poaceae. The record is from Rfam.
AAAAAGACAAACCGCGGGUUUGCGUGCCAAUGUUUGACUGUCCGUCUUAUAUGAAUUUUUCUUAUAAUUAGUAUUUUCAUUGUUGUUAGAUGAUAAAAUAUGAUGAAUACUUUAUGCGUGAUUUUAUCUUUUCAAUUUUUUUCAUAAUUUUUUUAAAUAAGACGGACGAUCAAACAUUAGACACGGUAACCAGGGUUUGUCUUUUC